UGGCUGGGCCUUUGUCUCUCGCUCCCACCAGAGCUUGGAAUCCGUCUCUGCUCUUCUGCAUUCUCCACCUCGGGAGCCCCUGGGGACUCUGUGACGGCCUCUGUUGCCCUGUGAUCUGCAGGUCCGGAGAGACGCACAGCUAAGAUGUCAGGACAUCCUGGAAGCUGGGAAAGGGUCUUGCCAUCUCUAAGCUGGACCUGGUGACCUUUUUGGAGGGAAAGAAAGAGCCCUGGACUGUGAAGAGUGAGGAGACCAUAGCUGCACAGCCAGUCCAGAUGUAUAAUCUCAUCCCUGAACAUUUCUGAUGGUGUGAUUAUGACAUGUGACUUUAUCUGGCAACAGAGUGAGUUGUUGCUCCCGCCUGAGCCCAGCCCCCAGAAAGGAUUGUGACAUAUCGUUGGACCCAGAAUUGAGGUGCAGUUUUGACACACUUCUGUCUAGCAGCUGAGUAUUGUGAUCUUCAGAACUGGCCCAGCCUACAAAUAGGAUUGUGCCACACUGCUGGACCCAGCACCUAGAUGAUGUAACUAUUCUCCUGCCUUGGUGCUACUCAAAAAAGACAUUAACAUAUCUCAGAGCCUUGCACCCAGGUGGAAUUGUGACAUAUAACUUGGCCAAGCACACAGAUGUAAUGGUGUGGUGACUCUCAUACCUAGAACUGGGACCUGUGCAGGAUUGUUAAUUCAUUACUGGACAUUCCUGUGGGUGUGAUUGUUACAUAUGCCUAUGUUCAGCACCCGAGUGAUUUGAUUUUGCUGCCUGGUCUCAGUCCAAAUGCUCUGCAUAUUUGGGUAUUGUGACAUAUUGCUGAACUCAACACCUAAGGGAUGGGAGUCUCCUACCUAGGCCCUUCCUACAGGGGACAUUGUGACAUGUCUCUGCAUUCCUCAUCCAGGAGAUGUGACUCUCCUUUUCUGCCUACACCCUGCCUACACAGAAAGUUGUGGCAUAUUGCUGUGGUCAGCAACCAGAUGAUAUAUUUCUCCUGCCUGGGUCUUUAUUACAGGAAAGAUGAUUGACAUAUUACUGGGCCCAGCAUCCAGAUGAUGUGACUCUCUUCUUCUGUUGGUCCUUGCUUACAGGGAAACUGUAGCAUAUUGCUACACCCAACACCUAGCUUAUGUGAUUCUUCUUUUAGGUUUGCCUUCAGGGAACAUUGUGACAUAUUGCUGGGCCCUGCACUGAUAAUUUGUGACUCUUCUGCCUGUGAUUUGCCCACUUGGGGCAUUGUGACAUAUUGCUGGGUUUAACACUCAGGUGAUGUAACUUUUAUGCCUAGGCCUUGCUUACAGGAGGCAUUUUGAAAUGUCUUUGUGGCUGGGCAUGGUGGCUCAUGUCUGUAAUCCCAGCGCUUGGGGAGGCCAAGGUGGGCAGAUCACAAAGUCAGGAGUUCGAGACCAGCCUGGUCAACAUGGUGAAAACCUGUCUCUACUAAAACAAAACAAAACAAAACAAAACAAAACAAAACAAAACAAAACAAAACAAAUAAAACCACAAAAA
Homo sapiens (human) is the source of this 1500-nucleotide long non-coding RNA. NCBI's taxonomy places the organism in Eukaryota, Metazoa, Chordata, Mammalia, Primates, Hominidae. The record is from Ensembl.